GAUCAUGGCUCAGGAUGAACGCUAGCUACAGGCUAACACAUGCAAGUCGAGGGGCAGCAUAUCGAAGCUUGCUUGAUAGAUGGCGACCGGCGCACGGGUGAGUAACGCGUAUCCAACCUUCCCAUCACUCAGGGAUAGCCCGCCGAAAGGCGAAUUAAUACCUGAUGGUCUCCUUCGCGGACAUCUAACGAGGAGUAAAGAUUUAUUGGUGAUGGAUGGGGGAUGCGUCUGAUUAGGUAGUAGGCGGGGUAACGGCCCACCUAGCCGACGAUCAGUAGGGGUUCUGAGAGGAAGGUCCCCCACAUUGGAACUGAGACACGGUCCAAACUCCUACGGGAGGCAGCAGUGAGGAAUAUUGGUCAAUGGACGGAAGUCUGAACCAGCCAAGUAGCGUGCAAGGAUGACGGCCCUAUGGGUUGUAAACUGCUUUUGUGCGGGAAUAAAGUAUGGGACGUGUCCCAUUUUGCAUGUACCGCACGAAUAAGGACCGGCUAAUUCCGUGCCAGCAGCUGC
This 513-nucleotide ribosomal RNA is filed under the name uncultured bacterium. RNAcentral describes it as "bacterial SSU rRNA". It matches the Rfam family "Bacterial small subunit ribosomal RNA", at positions 15 to 518 of the family's 1533-position model. The record is from RNAcentral.